GACGAACGCUGGCGGCGUGCUUAACACAUGCAAGUCGAACGGAAAGGCCCUGCUUUUGUGGGGUGCUCGAGUGGCGAACGGGUGAGUAACACGUGAGUAACCUGCCCUUGACUUUGGGAUAACUUCAGGAAGCUGGGGCUAAUACCGGAUAGGAGCUCCUGCUGCAUGGUGGGGGUUGGAAAGUUUCGGCGGUUGGGGAUGGACUCGCGGCUUACCAGCUUGUUGGUGGGGUAGUGGCUUACCAAGGCUUUGACGGGUAGCCGGCCUGAGAGGGUGACCGGCCACAUUGGGACUGAGAUACGGCCCAGACUCCUACGGGAGGCAGCAGUGGGGAAUAUUGCACAAUGGGCGGAAGCCUGAUGCAGCAACGCCGCGUGCGGGAUGACGGCCUUCGGGUUGUAAACCGCUUUCGCCUGUGACGAAGCGUGAGUGACGGUAAUGGGUAAAGAAGCACCGGCUAACUACGUG
This 468-nucleotide ribosomal RNA is filed under the name uncultured bacterium. RNAcentral's name for it is "partial 16S ribosomal RNA". It matches the Rfam family "Bacterial small subunit ribosomal RNA", at positions 28 to 507 of the family's 1533-position model. The record is from RNAcentral.